This 409-nucleotide ribosomal RNA is filed under the name bacterium. Its description in RNAcentral is "partial 16S ribosomal RNA". It matches the Rfam family "Bacterial small subunit ribosomal RNA", at positions 355 to 776 of the family's 1533-position model. The record is from RNAcentral.
UGGGGAAUAUUGGACAAUGGGCGGAAGCCUGAUCUAGCAACGCCGCGUGAGGGAUGACGGCCUUCGGGUUGUAAACCUCUUUCAGUACCGACGAAGCGAAAGUGACGGUAGGUACAGAAGAAGGACCGGCCAACUACGUGCCAGCAGCCGCGGUAAUACGUAGGGUCCGAGCGUUGUCCGGAAUUAUUGGGCGUAAAGGGCUCGUAGGCGGUUUGUCGCGUCGGGAGUGAAAACCAUGGGCUUAACUCAUGGCUUGCUUUCGAUACGGGCAGACUAGAGGUAUGCAGGGGAGAAUGGAAUUCCUGGUGUAGCGGUGAAAUGCGCAGAUAUCAGGAGGAACACCGGUGGCGAAGGCGGUUCUCUGGGCAUUACCUGACGCUGAGGAGCGAAAGUGUGGGGAGCGAACAGG